RNAcentral lists this ribosomal RNA (249 nucleotides) under uncultured bacterium. RNAcentral's name for it is "partial 16S ribosomal RNA". It matches the Rfam family "Bacterial small subunit ribosomal RNA", at positions 796 to 1041 of the family's 1533-position model. The record is from RNAcentral.
CACGCCGUAAACGAUGGAUGCUCGGUGUCGGGGGUAUCGACCCCCUCGGCGCCUCAGGUAACCCGGUAAGCAUCCCGCCUGGGGAGUACGGCCGCAAGGUUGAAACUCAAAGGAAUUGACGGGGGCCCGCACAAGCGGUGGAGCAUGUUGUUUAAUACGUCACUAACCGUAGAACCUUACCAGGUCUUGACAUCUUCGGAACCCUUUGGAAACGGAGGGGUGCCCGCAAGGGAGCCGAAAGACAGGUGU